UGAGAUUGUAAAUGUUUUAAAACAUUGAGGUGCAUAAUGUAAUUUCCUGAACAAUAAAAUUUUCCGAGACUUCCCCUUGAAAUCACUGCAACAAUAGGGGAAGAAGCUUCAUGUUCAAAGAGAAAAACACGGCCAACACAUCACAAACAACAACGAUGUCGUUUCUUCCUCCGAUUCUUGUCUUCCUCUUUCACUGCCUUUGCCCUUCAUUUGAUGUCAAUUCUAUUUCAAUUAAAGUUUGCUUUUUCAAUAUUCUUUUAGCCGUUUGUUAGUUUCUUUUAUUAGCUUUGAUGCUUGCAGAAUUAACACUGAUUGAAAUUCCACUCUGGCAAGUAGAAGAAUUCAGCUCCAUUACAAUGAAAAUAAUUGAUGGUACAGUUGUUAAAGAACCCAAAAUAGUCCUCAAGUUUUUGUUGAUACCCAACUCAAUAAUGAAGAACUAUUUGUAGCUAAUGCAUUGAUUUAGUUGAAAUAUAAGGUGUGCAAUUUCUUUUAUCCAUAUUAUAAUUUUGUAUUGCUUUGGACUGGUUCAGAACUUGUCUACCACAGGCUUCCUUGCAGAUUGCUUGAUUCACCUUACGCGCAACAAGUUUUAUAUGAAGAUGCUGUUAUGGUAAAUGUGUUAUAGUGGUAAAUAUAUGCAUUUAGGCUCAUGUAUGAUUGAUACAGCAUUUUUUUUUUUUUUUUUGGUUAUUGAUUUUUUGAACUUCCGAUUGCUGAACUGGUAUGCAUUUAUGUCAAAAAAAAAAAUCCCCUUUUUUGAACUGCAACUCAGUUGUUAUGCUGAAUAUGUUUGCAGAACCACCAUUUUAAUAAAUAAUUCUGCACUGACAAAUCUCAGUAAGUGGGUAUGAACAUGAAGGCUUAGGAAAAAGAUACAUUUGCAUACACUGCUACCCAUGCCAUGAAUCUUACAUUAUAUUCUAUGAAGAGUUGAUUUCAACUAAGCUAAAAUGUUGCAUUGGGUGUAGUAUAGGAAUUAGGAAUCAACAGCUUUUAAUCUUUAUCCUGACCUCCAGCAAACCAAUAAAACCUUUGAUAUUGGAGUAUCCUUGCACUUAGGAUGUGAAAAGUCAUUUAUUUCAUUUGAUUGACAUGAAAUUAUGUUAAUAAUCAGAUUGCUUUUAAUAAGCCUUCGGGUCUGCAAGUUUUGCCUGGAGGGUUUUUCCAACAGCAAACUGUUUCAACUGAAUUCCACUGGUUAGCUAAGGAACAAAUCUCUGGGCAAAGAAACAAAUCUCUUUCUUACUGAGCCAAGAAUCACAUCUCGUUUCUGUUCAUCGCAUAGGAAGGGGCACAUCUGGUUAGCUGAGGUAUUGCUGAACAAUAUGACAAUGACUGUUUGCUAUUGUUAACUGUUAGCUGCGUUCUCAAUGGUUCAUAACCUCAUAUACAUGACAACUGAAAAUUUUUUUUAAUUAAUCCAGUGAUCAGAAGGAAGCAUACUCUUGAAGGCCAGUUUGCACAACUAAUAUUUACUGAAAUAAAUAAUAAAUUCCGAGAACUAAGAAAUAAAUAUAGAUCCUAUUAUUUGUUAGUUGUGUUUGAUAAUUCCAUAGUUUAAUUCAGGACAGAAGUCCCUAUGUAACUGUCAGUUUGAUCUUAGUUUUGACAGCAAGGCUGAUCCACUAUUGCCUGAAUGUGACGGUUUCCUGCCAUGUUUUUGCCUUCCUGCGAUGCCAUGUCUAUUCCUCUCUCAAACUCCCAAUGCAGAAAAUUUAGUGCACCUGUACACUGUUUAGAUUUUUUAUAUAAUGGAAUGAUAUGACAACCAUAUUUAUUUUGGUAAUCAGAGAUUUCUGCAGUUUCAUUUUUAUGCUGAUGGUUUUUAUUCUCUUCCUUGCAUAACAUGCCAGACAUUUUGUGCUUCUUUUACCUGAGAGUUGUCUCACCAGUUCUUUUGGUCUUUAUAUUGCAUCAAUAGUGUUGAUUAGGAAAAAACCAUAUCUUCUUCUAAAUUUCCAAUGAUUUGAUCAGUUGUCAAGUGGAUUCUAGGAAUAUUACUGUGUGCAAAGUCAAAGCUUGCCAGGACUCACCUAGCAGCAUAUUUUGCUGAUGGCACAUCUUGUAUUAGAGGCAUUGGAGAGAUUGAGCAACUUUCUUUCAAACCAUAUUGAAAUUUGAUAGUGGAUCCCUAGUUUAAGUUCCAGUCUUUGCUUCACUUUUUCAGAAAUUUUCAAUGGCAAGGGUUAGAAAUAUUUGUUGUGAAUCAAUUUUAACUCUCCUAUGUAUAAUUUUCUUGAUUCAAGUCUAUUAUUUGGAAGGACAGGUAUGUAUAAUUUUCUUGAUUCAAGUCUAUUAUUUGGAAGGACAGGAGGAGGGACAAAGGUCAAAUAUAAGAGAAACGUGGGGAAAAUUACAUUAAAUGAAGUUUUUGUUCAAUGAAGAAACAAAAAGGAAUGAGAUAACUAAUGCUACACUAAACAACUAAUAGCAGAAAGUUAAAUGACAUAAAAAUCUCAAAAUUCAUUCUCAGUUGGAGGCACUAUCCUAGCUGACUUUUGCCUCUAAAAUCUUGUUUUUCUCAAGAAGUUCAUUACAAACAUCCUUAGAGUGUUUCAGUUCAUUUUUUAGCACCUCAAACAAAAUCAUUUGGCUUUUACAAAAUGUAUUUUCUUGAGAAACAAACUCAAACUAAUAUUUCAGACCUUAGAUAUUCAUUUGCCUUUUUAAGUUAGAAUACCUUUUCUUGUACCAUCUAUAUUCUUUGUGAGCUAAAGCAAAAGCAUCUUCUAAUUCCUCAAAAGAAAUCGGUUCGGAUUCACUUACCUGCUGAAGACUUUUUUCUUUCUUUGAAUUUUCAACAUCUUCCACAGCCAUUAAACAUAAAUUUGCAACUUCCUUGGUGUUGGAAACAGCAUCACUUGAUGUAGAGUCACCACUUGCUUCCAUAUAAUACUUUUCUUUGCACUUUUUGUAUUUUCUGCUCUCUUUCUUAAAAAUCUUUUUGAGAUUUCUUGGUAGCAUUUCCAUGUCCUCAUUGUUGCCUCUACUACUUGAACAUUCAUCACUUGAUUUGUCCUUGGGCACAAUGGAUUUCUUCUUCUCUUUUACUUUGUCAGUUUUGAAGGCAAGUACUUUCUUCUUUUUGUCAUCCUCAAUUGCAUUAUUCUUUUCAAACGUCAUCUUAUAUGCAAUGAGAGACCCAAUAAGCUCAUCAUAUGUGUAAGACUGGAAAUUCUUUGAAUCUAAAAGAACUGUGACUUUUGUUUUCCAAGUUUUUGGCAAAGACCUCAAAAUCUUCUUGACAAGCUCCUCUUCCAUAAAUGUCUUUCCACAUACAUUGAGGAUAUUGAUAAGGUUUGUGAACCUUGUCCUCAUUUCAGCCAUUGAUUCAUCAGGAUUUUUCUCGAAACGCUCAUAGUCACGAACAAGUAAGUUGGGUUUUGAUUUCUUGACCUGAUUGGUACCUCCGUACAUCACUUGUAGCUUUUCCCAAAUUUCCUUAUCUGAAGUGCAACCUGAAAUACAAUAAUAUUCAGUGGCAUCUAAACCACAAUACAAAAUAUUUAUAGCUUUGGCAUUCAUUUGCACUUUCUUCCAAUCAUAUGUAGUAUAUUCACUUUUAGAGUGGAGAAAGCGAAUCCAUAGAGCCGACCCCAAAUUUUUGGGAUAAAGGCUUAGUUGAGUUGAGUUGAGUAUAUGUAGCAUAUUCACUUUCAAGUUCAAUAACUUGUGCAUCUCCUACUUUCUUAGAAGGUAUAAAUGGACCAUUCAAGAUAUUCAACCAAGCAUUUAUAUCAAUAGAUUGAAUAAUGUUUAAAUUCUAACUUUCCAAAAGGAAUAGUUAGUUCCAUUGAACAAUGGAGAUCUUGUAAUGGAAUAGCCUUCAGCUAAACGGAUAUGUAUGCAUUUCCAUUUGCCAUAGGAACCCUCUUAAGGUAUUUAAACACAAAGCUAGAGAGUUAAGCUCUGAUACCAAUUUGUUGUCCCAGAAAGUAUGUCCAAGAGGGAGGUGAAUUGGACAAUUAUCAAUUUUUCUACUCUUGCUCUAAGCACUCUGAAAAAUUGAAGCUAGAUUAGGCACUCUAAUGUGUGUGAAUAAGUGGCAAAAAAGUGCUGCAGAAAGUACAACAGGGUUUUAAUCAAAACACUUCAAAGAACUAUAAGUUAGCUAAAUUUUGCUACUCAACAAGCAUGUAACACUUCCUAACAUUCGAGUAAAUAUACAAGCAAAAUACCUAGCACACACACACAAACACACACACAUACAUAUAUAUAUAUUACAAAUAACAACUUAAAGUGCUGGAAAUAAAGAUAAUAAGGAGAAGAAGAUCAAACACUAUGAUUUACAGUGAUUCGGCUCUCACUAGCCUACAUUCACUCCUCAAAGAAUCCCUUUGAGAGUUGCUCUUUACUAUAUGUCUCGUUUCAAGGGGCAAGAAACAAGCUUUUUACAAUCCCACGAACUUCCAAGGGUUCUUGCAACCUUUACAAGUGCUUCUCCACACUCAAACUCUUCGUCAAGCUUCAAGGAUGCUUGAUAACCUUAUAUAGUUUUUUGUAAGAUCACUUUCAAUCACUCAAGAAUAAAACCAUAAAGAGCUAUUAAGAUGAGAGAGAAUGUUUGCCAAUAUAAGAACCAAAACAAAAAACAUGAAUUUCAAGAACAAAGGCUUAUAAAUGAUCUCAAUUGAUCACUAAGAGUUGAAGUGCUUUUAUUAGGUGAAAGGGUAGUAAAUGAAGCCUUGUAUAGGAACUUCUGAAAUGUAGCUGUUAGGAUUCAAAAAGGUGACCAACAGAUAGAUUUUUUCAAAGAAAACUAGCCAUUAUUUCGUCUUUAACUCAAAAGUAGCUGACUAAAAUUAAAACUGUUCGACAUUAGUUAGCUAAUUUGAAGAAUCAUCUGCAUCUACUGUUUUGUCACUUAUUAAGUUGUUCUUUGCAAAUUUUUUUACAUGUUAUAAUCCAUAUCUGCAUGAUAGGUUAUCACCGAGCAACCAAUUGGAACAGUCCUAUUUUUGGUUAUACAAGGUACGCCAGCAUUGAUGAAAGUUGAAGUACUUGAGAGCGACAUGCAGGGAAACUGCACAUUGGCCCAGGUAUCCAUGUCUUUAUCUGAAAUUUAUGAGACAGAACAAAUCCUCUCCUGUUAAACAGGUUGAAAUUGAGUCAGGAAGGCCACACCAAGCACGUAUUCAUAUUUCUUUUAUCGAGCAUCCUUCCCUAGGUAAACCAAGUCAUGAUUAUUUUAUAGGGCUAUGAGUUUGAACAGUUAAAUUAUGUAUUACGUAGGGAUGUGGUAAAAUUACUUGAAGCCAUUAACAGCAAUAACUACCAUUUUGUCUAUUAUUCUAGUUGAUAUUUCUGCUGCAUCAACUUGUGAGAGCCAAAGUAAUCUAGGGUACUGUACCAACUACAAACUAUAUAGAAUAACAGAACAAGUUGUUUGAUUUGGCUAAAAACACUUGCAUGAGCCUUUGUAUUACCAAAAUUGUCAUCAAACUUUUCAUUUACCGUUUGCAACAUCUUCUGUUGCAAAUUUCAAUUUGUUUUUUCUUGUCUUACAGACAAUAUGGUCAGAUAGGUGAAUGAAGGAAAAUUAUUUAUGCAACUGAUCUAGUUGGAAAGAAAGCUUAGUUCAUUUGAGAUCCUCAUUAUAUUGUUGGUUGUGGCCAACCCAAGUGCUUUGAAUUAUGUGAAAUAUAGUCUAGAGUAUUUUACAUCAACUUGAAUACACAUUUCUUGUUGAUUGCUAAUCAUUUUCGGUUUAAAAGGUUUAUUUCCUUGCAAUUGGUUAUUGAAGUAGCGUGAAAAGAACAUCAGAAUGUCUUUUGCUUGUUUGUUAUUAACUUUUUGUAGAGGGUAUCAGAGACUACAAAACCUGUUCCUGGAGAAUGUGGCUAUUACUUGCAUGCACAUCAAUUGAUCCUCUUGCACCCAACUACAAAUGAGGUUAUUAAAUUUUAUUCCGCAUAUUCUACAAACAAGAGCAGAAAAGACAAACCAUCAAUUGACCUCCUUAGAUAAAGACAAAUCCACAGAGAAAGCAUCAAUAAUUGAAGGAAAACCACAGCCACAGAACCGCGAGAUAGCUGUUGAAAAGUGAAAACCACAUCCGAAUAGAUAAGAAGAAGAAAAAGAAUAUUUUGCCUCUAGCAUUUCAAGCAUAAGAUUAAAAUAUAUUGAUAUAAAUUAUCCUACCAACUGUGUAUGAAGGGUUAAUCGUCAGAAUGGAAUAGAUAGGCGAUCGAAUGACCGAGGGACAGUGACAAAGCCCCUCUCAACUUUCAGAGAUUAUUUCUGUAUUCCCAUCAAAUACAACAAAUACAAAGCAGCUUCAAUAUUACAUUGCACCUAAA
Molecule: RNA transcript, 6302 nt
Organism: Hevea brasiliensis (rubber tree)
Lineage: Eukaryota; Viridiplantae; Streptophyta; Magnoliopsida; Malpighiales; Euphorbiaceae
Exons: 4
Source: RefSeq, a predicted model, not a curated record